Molecule: non-coding RNA, 216 nt
Organism: Oryza punctata
Lineage: Eukaryota; Viridiplantae; Streptophyta; Magnoliopsida; Poales; Poaceae
Source: Rfam
UUUAAGUACAACCAUAAGUUUUCGUAUCCAACUUUGACCGUCCGUCUUAUUUUAAACUAUUUGAAACAUUUUUAUGAUUAGUAUUUUUAUUUUUACUUAGAUGAUAAAACAUGAAUAGUAUUUUAUGUGGGACAUAUGUUUUUUAAUUUUUUCAAAAAAUUUUUAAAGAAGACGAACGAUUAAAGUUGAACAUAGAAACUGAUAGCUAUACUUAAA